GCUGAGAUAGCCAAGGUGGUCACGGCGGGCGCCUGAAGAGCGUCAAAUGUGUGUUCGACUCACACUCUCAGCA
This 73-nucleotide transfer RNA is filed under the name Candidatus Microgenomates bacterium. RNAcentral's name for it is "tRNA-Phe". It matches the Rfam family "tRNA". Rfam says of the family: Transfer RNA (tRNA) molecules are approximately 80 nucleotides in length. Their secondary structure includes four short double-helical elements and three loops (D, anti-codon, and T loops). Lineage: Bacteria; Candidatus Microgenomatota. The record is from RNAcentral.